RNAcentral lists this long non-coding RNA (1071 nucleotides) under Gadus morhua (Atlantic cod). RNAcentral's name for it is "lncRNA (ENSGMOG00000034563.1)". The record is from RNAcentral. Lineage: Eukaryota; Metazoa; Chordata; Actinopteri; Gadiformes; Gadidae.
CAGGUGGUCAUGCCAAUCCCUUUUUGAUUACAGUGGCAUCGGAUUGACCAGUCAAUCACACAUGCUUCCAGCCCCAAUGUAGCAGCACCAAUCAGCUUGCGCGAAACAUAAUUGAUGCCACACCCUCCACCUGCAUCCAGUGACCAUGAUUGGUCAAUGCAGUUUGGCACUUAUGUUAAUUAGACGCAGCUGGUGUGUUCCAGUAUCUCCCUGGCCUCCGUUGUUUGUGGAGGCUGCCUCUAGCCUAACCCAGCUGGUGAGUCUGCAGCUGUUUUAUUCUUUGGUGAGUCAUGUGUUAUACUUUUGAUGCUUGCUUCUGUUUCUCUUAUUGUUCAAAGAGGUUUGCUGCGGUCUGUGAUUCCGGCUCCUGUCCCUGUCAUUGCUGCGGUUUUUUUGGCCACCAGUGGUUAGCUUCAGCGAGGAACGCCGCAGGAGCCGACCAGGAGGGGAGGAGAGAUGAGCUGUCCGGGACUCUGAUCGAUCCUGGGGGAGGAGAGGUCACCUCCAGCCUGUCUGCUCCUCGACUCGCUGGGUUUCAACUGCACUUUGUUGGAAGAAGCUGGGAGUAAACACGCUCGGCUCCAGAACAGCCCAGCGACCGAAGCGCUAGAGUUCGGCAACAUCCGUAUUGAGCUGCUUGACUCUGAGUACUUUUUUUGUUAUUUAUAUUUAUGUUUACAUUUAGGGCAUUUGGCCCGAUUUGGUCAAUCAAAGCCACUGUGAUUGGACGGUAUUGUUGACAGUAAUGGUGAGGUUUGCGGUACAAAAUAAAUGUUGUUAAGAUGAAGGUGUUGAGUAGAAUUGUGAAGGGGCCUUUGUGAAUAAUUAGCACGUGUGAUGUGAUGAAUGUGAUGAUCUGAAUGCGUCAGCGCUGUAGACUGCAUGGAGACGGGUUGUGAUGCAUUGCAGGUAGGCACAUAUCCCAUGAAUUUCAAUUACUAGUUGUUGGGUCGCCAUCUUUAAUCUUUACAAUGCACAGUGCACACCCAUGCAACUACAGACACACACACACACACACACAAACACACACACGCACACGCACACACAGAUGCACGCACACACGCACACGCG